GCGGGCGUGGUAUAGUGGUAUUAUACGUCCUUGCCAAGGACGAGAGGGGGGUUCGAUUCCCCUCGCCCGCUCCA
This 74-nucleotide transfer RNA is filed under the name bacterium. RNAcentral's name for it is "tRNA-Gly". It matches the Rfam family "tRNA". From Rfam's summary of the family: Transfer RNA (tRNA) molecules are approximately 80 nucleotides in length. Their secondary structure includes four short double-helical elements and three loops (D, anti-codon, and T loops). The record is from RNAcentral.